CUAGGAAUCUUGGGAAUGGGCGAAAGCCUGACCCAGCAACGCCGCGUGGGCGAUGAAGGCCUUCGGGUCGUAAAGCCCUUUUGAGGGGGACGAUGAUGACGGUACCCCUCGAAUAAGCCACGGCUAACUACGUGCCAGCAGCCGCGGUAAUACGUAGGUGGCAAGCGUUGUCCGGAUUUACUGGGCGUAAAGGGCGUGCAGGCGGUUUGUUUAGUCUAGGGUGAAAGCUCCCGGCUUAACUGGGAGAGGUCCUUGGAUACUGGCAAACUUGAGGGAGGCAGAGGAAAGUGGAAUUCCCGGUGUAGUGGUGAUAUGCGUAGAUAUCGGGAGGAACACCAGUGGCGAAGGCGGCUUUCUGGGCCUUACCUGACGCUGAGACGCGAAAGCGUGGGGAGCGAA
Molecule: ribosomal RNA, 399 nt
Filed under: uncultured bacterium
Lineage: Bacteria
Description: bacterial SSU rRNA
Rfam family: Bacterial small subunit ribosomal RNA
Source: RNAcentral